Molecule: transfer RNA, 78 nt
Filed under: Methylobacter sp.
Lineage: Bacteria; Pseudomonadati; Pseudomonadota; Gammaproteobacteria; Methylococcales; Methylococcaceae
Also listed under: 1 other name
Description: tRNA-Met
Rfam family: tRNA
About the family: Transfer RNA (tRNA) molecules are approximately 80 nucleotides in length.
Source: RNAcentral
GGCGAUGUAGCUCAGUCCGGUUAGAGCGUGGGAUUCAUAACCCCAAGGUCGGUGGUUCGAUCCCACCCAUCGCCACCA